GAGUUUGAUCGUGGCUCAGAUUGAACGCUGGCGGCAGGCCUAACACAUGCAAGUCGAGCGGAUGACGGGAGCUUGCUCCUUGAUUCAGCGGCGGACGGGUGAGUAAUGCCUAGGAAUCUGCCUGGUAGUGGGGGACAACGUUUCGAAAGGAACGCUAAUACCGCAUACGUCCUACGGGAGAAAGCAGGGGACCUUCGGGCCUUGCGCUAUCAGAUGAGCCUAGGUCGGAUUAGCUAGUUGGUGGGGUAAUGGCUCACCAAGGCGACGAUCCGUAACUGGUCUGAGAGGAUGAUCAGUCACACUGGAACUGAGACACGGUCCAGACUCCUACGGGAGGCAGCAGUGGGGAAUAUUGGACAAUGGGCGAAAGCCUGAUCCAGCCAUGCCGCGUGUGUGAAGAAGGUCUUCGGAUUGUAAAGCACUUUAAGUU
This 430-nucleotide ribosomal RNA is filed under the name bacterium enrichment culture clone ALO1_GLFRUDD03HDXVD. RNAcentral describes it as "bacterial SSU rRNA". It matches the Rfam family "Bacterial small subunit ribosomal RNA", at positions 9 to 441 of the family's 1533-position model. The record is from RNAcentral.